Lytechinus pictus (painted urchin) is the source of this 4853-nucleotide long non-coding RNA. RefSeq lists it as uncharacterized. The transcript is spliced from 2 exons. Lineage: Eukaryota; Metazoa; Echinodermata; Echinoidea; Temnopleuroida; Toxopneustidae. The record is from RefSeq and is a predicted model, not a curated record.
AGAGACAAAAUGGUAAGAUUUUUAAUGUUAUAUUCUGGUGAUCAAACUCUAUCACCGAAUUAGAUUUUUCACUUCAAAAGGUCAAGAAUUUUGCUAGCUCGCUUCACUCUCCGGAGCCUUCAAAAAUUGUCAAACACGUCAUGUUGUGCCCCUCAAUAUUUUUGGCUCAUUACGCCCACUGUGCUCAACACUAUUUUUCUCCUUUUCUUUGUUUAGGUUUCAUUAAAUUGGUACAAAAGAAAAGAUAAGACUCGCAUAAAGCCGAGAUGAUGAUGAUGACUCGCUUACUCUUCAUAUCUUUCACUGUUGCUCUCACGCAUCUGAUAGCCGCAUCGGUUUCUCGACCUUGCGCACAAGAUGGCAUCGCCACCAUACAUUACAAGAAGGAUCCAUACAGAUCGUACAGGAAAGGUCCAGUAAGUCACGACGUAGCCAAUGCCGAAUGCUCGUACCCAUCGCAGGCAAAGCCCACGAUGUACACACCGACGCGAGCUAUUCCUCGGAACACGAGCAUGUCGAGUCGUACAACUCUCAAGUCAAGCCCAAAAGAAAAGUGGCUUGCGGGUUUAUGGAAGGAUUUGAAGGCACAUGAGUCAUGAACCUCACGAGCAAGAUACGAUGAAGCUCACGAGCUAGAUACGAUUUAACUAUAUAUUUUUUUCUUGGAGAUCACUAAAGGAGUGUUGCGAGUCCCUUGCAAUCAAUUGCAAAUCUAUUUUGGAGUCCAUAUAGAUCAGUCAUAAGUCUUGCAAUUAUUUGCAAAUUAGUAAUUGAAUGCCGAUCUCUUUCUGGCAACAUAUCACUGAUUUGCUACAACUAAACCUGAUCUAUUAAUGAUAUUGUAAAAUAUUGCAAUUUUAAAAAAAAUCACGUGCACACGUUGAUAUCAUAUCAUGCACAUUUAUGUUACUUUAUUGUCGCAUUUGCAAAUAUUUUUCCGAAGAUAAAUCAAAUUAAAGGACAAGUCCACCCCAACAAAAGUUGAUUUGAAUAAAAAGAGAAAAUCCCAAAAAGCAUAACACUGAAAAUUUCAUCAAAAUCGGAUGUAAAAUAAGAAAGUUAUGACUUUUUAAAGUUUCGCUUAAUUUCACAAAACAGUUCUAUUCACAUCCUGGUCGGUAUAUGCAAAUGAGGAAACUGAUGACAUCAUCCACUCACUAUUGCUUUUAUAUUUUAUUAUAUGAAAUAUUCUAAUUUUCUCCUCAUUGUCAAGUGAAACAUCAAUUAAUUCCUCCCUUAACAUGUGUAGCUAGCGUUGUUUAAUACUAUAUGGUUCAGUCAAGUUGGUCCUUAUUGUCAAAUCUGUAAAGAAUGAAAAAUUGUAUAAUUCAAAUAAUAAAAAACAAAAGAAAUAGUGAGUGAUGGACAUCAUCGACUGACUCAUUUGCAUGUCACUGAGUUGUGCACAUCACUAUUUUGUGAAAAAAUAAUCGAAACUUUAAAAUUCCAUAACUUUCUUAUUUCACAUCCGAUUUUGAUGAAAUUUUCAGCGUCAUGCUAGCUUGAUUUUUCUCUAUUUAUUCAAAUAAACAUUUUUCUGGGGUGGACUUGACCUUCAACAAGGGGAAUAACAAAAUUCACUAAGGCCUAAACUAAGAUUAUUGAUGUUUUAGAGAAUUUCAAUAUUUUGAAAAUAAAGAAAUACAGUUUGUGCUUGUCUUGUAUAUAUAUUAUAAUGUGAAAAACAGUAUUUUUUCUGUAAAUUUGAUAAUGGCGAAUAAUAAUUAUCUAUACGUAUAAAGAUUGUUGCCGCCAGCAGAUGGUUGGCUUGUUUAGUUAUAAGAGAUAAAGAAGGAAUAAGACAUGAAAGAUAUGAAAUAUUAAAUACCUGCAGGAGAAACAAUCAUGCUGUUGCCAUGGAAACGCGUUGUUUGGAAUCUAGUUUCUAGACAUACAUAAAUCCUUAUCUCCAUGGUGAUACCAUAGAGCUAUACCAGAUGACAAGAUUCAGGCCCUUAAACGGAUAGGCGCAGAUCCGGUAGUGCGGGCCUUGUUACCGGGUUUACUUUUAAUUGGUUUAAUGCCAAUUCGGCCAAUUACCAACUCGUCAUUUGGUCUACCAUCAGUUUUUCCACUAUCAUUUCGUAUAAUAAUUAGUUGAUCCAAUAGCCAUUUAGUCCAUAUACCAUUUGGUCUAAUUGGACUAAGUUUUAAUUCGACGAAAUGAAUGAAAAUAAAAAAAAUCCAUUUUAGACCAACUGCUUAUGAGACGAAAUGGUCUUAAACGAAGUGAUGGUUUGACCAAAUGAUUAUUGAACCAAAUAGUUAUUGGACCAAAUGUUGUUAGACGAAAUGUCGAUGGACGGAAUGGCAUUAGACGAAAUGAAAGUAGGCCAUGUGAUGAGUUGGCAGUGGACGAAUUUACCCCCCCCCCCCCGACCCUAAUAUGAAAAGUGCCUCCCCCUCUUGACUGAUCCUGGAUACGCCCCUAUUAUACUAGAUUGUUCCAACUUUACCAAAAUGUGAAGCGUUGAUAUAAAGUAUUCGAUUUUUCCCACGUGCUUCUUAAAGGACAAGUCCACCCCGACAAAAAGUUGAUUUGGAUAAAAAGAGAAAAAUCCAACAAGCAUAACACUGAAAAUUUCAUCAAAAUCAACUAUAAAAAUAUAUUACUUUACUUACAUUUUAGUUAGUAACCAUUAUUAAAUGUCUCGUAUUGUAUAAUGAGUUUUUAUUUUUAAGGUUGCCUCUUAUUCUCUUUCCAAUUUCCACCUCUUUCUUUCCCUUUUCUUUUGUCUUAUCCCUAUUUCUUUCCCUUUUCUCAUCCUUCCCCUCUUUCUCCCUAAUCUUUUACCCUCCCUGUUCUUCAUUGGUGACACUUUGUAGUAAUUAUGUUAUGGCCUUUGGUAUUUACUUAUGAUAUACAUUUCUUUUUCAUCUAGAUGAAUCUGUAUUGUAUUUAAUUAUUUAUCUCUUUAUAAUGUUACUUUAUAUUUUGUUAUGUUUCUAUCUGUACAUGUAAACUUUCACACAUUUCAGUCUUUGACUGCUUGUGAUUGUAUUUUGAUAGUUUUUAUUGCAAUAAAAUCCAAUAUAUAUAUAAUUAUAUAAUAUAAAAAUCGGACGUAAAAUAAGAAAGUUAUGACAAUUGUUUUGCUUAAUUUCACAAAACAGUUAUGCUCAUCCUGGUCGGUAUGCAAAUGAGGAGACUGAUAACGUCAUCCACUCACUAUUGCAUGCAUGUCACCGAGUUGUGCACAUCACUGUUUUGUGAAAAAUAAGCGAAACUUUAAAAUGUUAUAACUUUCUUAUUUUGCAUCCGAUUUUGAUGAAAUUUUAUGCGUUAUGUUAGUUUGAUUUUUCUCUAUUUAUUCAAAUUAAUAUUUGUUCGGUGUGGACUUAACCUUUAACAACCCGUUAACAACAUACAAAGAGAGAAGUCAAAAGCAAUGACGCUGUGUGCUUUGUUUUAUUUCAUUAAAAUCUUAAAAGGAGAAAGGUACAGCAUUUUUAAAUUUUUUGUUGAUAUCACAAAUAACACGGGUGGAAUGCCAAAAUGAAGGAAGUAAUGGCGUCUCACACUCAUUAUUUCUUUUAUAAUUUCCAAAAAAAAUAGGCAUAAAACUUAUAUAUAUACAUAUUGAUAUUUUCUCUUUUUUAUGCAAAGCGUGGUUUGAAUACAAUCGAUAUUUUAGCAUUGUUGUAUCAUGUUGCUUCAUUCAACCAACAAGAUCAAGAGCUUGUUUAUUAUCAAAUUGAAAAGAACUGGAUUUCGCAAAAAAAAAGCUAUAUAGGGAGUGUGUUACGUACAUAAUUGCCUCACUUACGCAUCACUCUUGCCACGUUUGUUCUAUUAAGUUUAGUGAAAAUUGAAAUGAAUUUUUAUUUGGCAUCAGAAUAUGAUGAAAUUUGAAGAGAUAGUUUUUUGGCUUUUAGAUGAAAUAUCAGCAAUAUUUCAUAUGCAUUUUUGUACAUGGAGCGACAUUUCUUAUAAACGCUGUUUGACUCAGUGACUUGGUGACUCGCACUCUCUUUGCUCAGAGAACAAUUGCAUUUGAAGGGCCCAGAUUUUGGAACGAUCUUCCCCAUGAUAUGGUAUACGUGCCUCACUUAAUAUAUUCAAACGUAAAUUGAAAGCGAUGCUUAUCAAUUCUUAUAAAUUCCCUGUGUAAACUUUUAUAUACAUGUACUUUGUUAAUACGCUCUGGCUGAGUAAUGAGUAAUAAAUAAUAGUCAUAGAGUGGCAGUCUGGCAGACUCCUUUUUAUUUUUUUGUAUUCCUUACAUAUCCACAAUUGUCACAUUUUUGCAUUACUUUCAAUUUACUUAUAUACCUGUCCUCUCCUACUCAUUAAGACUGGUAUUUUUUCUGGAUCCUGCAGACUUAACAAGCUUUGCUUUUUUAUGCAGGUUCCCUCAUAUUUCACUCUUUUAAAUUGUCUUUAAUUCCAAAUCGCUAUUUUCUUUAAUUUGAAUUAAUUGUUAUGCCUUGUCUGAUUGUAUUCUCAUGAGUUUUCUGAUAUUGUUUUCAUAUUGUUGUUUGAACUUGUGAAAUAUGUAAAAUAAAGUCAAAUCAAAUCUUGAUAGUCAUGUUCCGCAGGUGGUUUGGUAUAAUAUUAUGCACUUAUAAAAAUGCCUCGUUAUCCUGUUUGUGUAUGUAUUUUGGAUAUACUUCCCCAGUCAUUCAAAUUAAUUAUUAACACAGGAGAAUAGUCCUACAUCUGUCCUAUCAACUGUUUUUGUUCUGUAUCUUCUUUCAUUCAGAACCAUACAAUGACCGAAUUAACCACAUAGGCAUAUUUAAAACAUUCGAUUUCUUAAUAUGAUUACAUCGAGUGUAUUGUGCAACUUUUUACAACUGAUGUUUAAUGUCAUUUUUAGAAUUGAAUUGUGGAAAAUAAAAAUUUAGUAAUA